UGGUGGGUAGUUUGACUGGGGCGGUCUCCUCCUAAAGAGUAACGGAGGAGCACGAAGGUUGGCUAAUCCUGGUCGGACAUCAGGAGGUUAGUGCAAUGGCAUAAGCCAGCUUGACUGCGAGCGUGACGGCGCGAGCAGGUGCGAAAGCAGGUCAUAGUGAUCCGGUGGUUCUGAAUGGAAGGGCCAUCGCUCAACGGAUAAAAGGUACUCCGGGGAUAACAGGCUGAUACCGCCCAAGAGUUCAUAUCGACGGCGGUGUUUGGCACCUCGAUGUCGGCUCAUCACAUCCUGGGGCUGAAGUAGGUCCCAAGGGUAUGGCUGUUCGCCAUUUAAAGUGGUACGCGAGCUGGGUUUAGAACGUCGUGAGACAGUUCGGUCCCUAUCUGCCGUGGGCGCUGGAGAACUGAGGGGGGCUGCUCCUAGUACGAGAGGACCGGAGUGGACGCAUCACUGGUGUUCGGGUUGUCAUGCCAAUGGCACUGCCCGGUAGCUAAAUGCGGAAGAGAUAAGUGCUGAAAGCAUCUAAGCACGAAACUUGCCCCGAGAUGAGUUCUCCCUGACUCCUUGAGAGUCCUGAAGGAACGUUGAAGACGACGACGUUGAUAGGCCGGGUGUGUAAGCGCAGCGAUGCGUUGAGCUAACCGGUACUAAUGA
RNAcentral lists this ribosomal RNA (654 nucleotides) under Escherichia coli. Its description in RNAcentral is "partial 23S ribosomal RNA". It matches the Rfam family "Bacterial large subunit ribosomal RNA", at positions 2259 to 2907 of the family's 2925-position model. The record is from RNAcentral. Lineage: Bacteria; Pseudomonadati; Pseudomonadota; Gammaproteobacteria; Enterobacterales; Enterobacteriaceae.